CUCUUGCUGCAGGAGGGACAAGAGGAGUGAGCCCUAGCUCUAAGCUUAAGUCAGCCCAAAGGCAGCACCUUCGGAGGUGGGAGGCCUGCCUGCUGGCUGUCCCCAGGAGGUGCAGAUCUGGAGCCAGUGCUGGUGACCCACUCCCACUCUGCGUUUCCCAGAAGGCAGCUCAGGCAUGCAAGUCAGGUGCAGAGACGCAAAGGCUCCUUGACAUUCUCUUUGGGGCUGAGCUCAUCAGCCAG
This is a long non-coding RNA of Balaenoptera acutorostrata (minke whale), 242 nucleotides long. RefSeq lists it as uncharacterized. The record is from RefSeq and is a predicted model, not a curated record. NCBI's taxonomy places the organism in Eukaryota, Metazoa, Chordata, Mammalia, Artiodactyla, Balaenopteridae. The transcript is spliced from 3 exons.